Molecule: ribosomal RNA, 490 nt
Filed under: uncultured bacterium
Lineage: Bacteria
Description: partial 16S ribosomal RNA
Rfam family: Bacterial small subunit ribosomal RNA
Source: RNAcentral
GAUGAACGCUAGCUACAGGCUUAACACAUGCAAGUCGAGGGGCAGCAUGGUCUUAGCUUGCUAAGGCCGAUGGCGACCGGCGCACGGGUGAGUAACACGUAUCCAACCUGCCGUCUACUCUUGGACAGCCUUCUGAAAGGAAGAUUAAUACAAGAUGGCAUCAUGAGUUCACAUGUUCACAUGAUUAAAGGUAUUCCGGUAGACGAUGGGGAUGCGUUCCAUUAGAUAGUAGGCGGGGUAACGGCCCACCUAGUCUUCGAUGGAUAGGGGUUCUGAGAGGAAGGUCCCCCACAUUGGAACUGAGACACGGUCCAAACGCCUACGGGAGGCAGCAGUGAGGAAUAUUGGUCAAUGGGCGAGAGCCUGAACCAGCCAAGUAGCGUGAAGGAUGACUGCCCUAUGGGUUGUAAACUUCUUUUAUAAAGGAAUAAAGUCGGGUAUGUAUACCCGUUUGCAUGUACUUUAUGAAUAAGGAUCGGCUAACUCCGUG